This 557-nucleotide long non-coding RNA is filed under the name Nicotiana benthamiana. RNAcentral describes it as "long non-coding RNA (NBEN_LNC007517)". The record is from RNAcentral. Lineage: Eukaryota; Viridiplantae; Streptophyta; Magnoliopsida; Solanales; Solanaceae.
AGGAGCAUUAAAAACUCUGCAAAUUUGGAGUGGCUCAAUCUGAAAGAAUUCACUAAGGUCUACUAUUCCAUUGAAAAGAUCUCUGAAAAUUCUAUCAAUCCUGACUACAAUAUGAAUAUGAACAACUGAGGGCUUAAAAAUGAGUUGAACUUUGUUUGUUGUUCGAGGGCUGGGUUUCAGCAUCAAUCCUGACUACAAUAUGAAUAUGGAACAACUAAGGGCUUAAAAAUGAGUUGAAUUUUGUUUGUUGUUCGAGGGCUGGGUUUCAGGUUCAGAUUAAACUUGAUCUAGGGCUUAGAUGUUGUGGCUGUGAAUCCAAACUUGGUUUAGAAAGGUUUCUCACUGAUUAUUCCUGGGCUUAUUUUGCUGUUGGAACACUGUCUUGCUAUUGCUUUUGCUGCUAAUCCUUCUCCUGUAUUGCGUUUCAAACUCCAGGUACUCCCUAAUUCUCUAGGAGAUGAAGUGCAAGAAUGGAAGUUGUAUCUACUUGAAUCUCAUGAAUGCAAACUGUCUUCCUUAAAUUUCCAGUGUCAAUUACUUACUUAGAAUUUCUGAAA